AAUGAACGCUGGCGGCAUGCCUAACACAUGCAAGUCGAACGAGACCUUCGGGUCUAGUGGCGCACGGGUGCGUAACGCGUGGGAAUCUGCCCUUGGGUUCGGAAUAACAGUUAGAAAUGACUGCUAAUACCGGAUGAUGUCGAAAGACCAAAGAUUUAUCGCCCGAGGGUGAGCCCGCGUAGGAUUAGCUAGUUGGUGAGGUAAAGGCUCAUCAAGGCGACGAUCCUUAGCUGGUCUGAGAGGAUGAUCAGCCACACUGGGACUGAGACACGGCCCAGGCUCCUACGGGAGGCAGCAGUGGGGAAUAUUGGACAAUGGGCGAAAGCCUGAUCCAGCAAUGCCGCGUGAGUGAUGAAGGCCUUAGGGUAGUAAAGCUCUUUUACCCGGGAUGAUAAUGACAGUACCGGGAGAAUAAGCUCCGGCUAACUUCGCGCCAGCAGCCGCCGUAA
This 449-nucleotide ribosomal RNA is filed under the name uncultured bacterium. RNAcentral describes it as "partial 16S ribosomal RNA". It matches the Rfam family "Bacterial small subunit ribosomal RNA", at positions 29 to 523 of the family's 1533-position model. The record is from RNAcentral.